CUGGGCAGAGGGAUCCUCCUCCCAUCAUCACUGAGCUGCUCCAGGCCCCUCAGCACCUUCAGAGCCUGCCCUGGACUCUCUCCAGUAAUUCCCAGUCUCUCUGGAACUGGGGAGCCCAGAACUGGACCCAGUGCUCCAUCUAUGGCCUGACUGGGGCAGAGUAGAGGGGGAGCAGAACCUCCCUGGACCUACUGCCCACGCUCUUCUCCAUGCCUCCAGGAGACCAUCAGCCUUGUUGACCAGGAGGGCACAUUGCUGGCUCACAAUGAAGUUGUUGCCCACGAGGACUGCCAGGUCCUUCUCCUUGGAGCUGCUUCCCAGCAGGUCAUUAUUCCUCACCUGUACUGCUGCAGGGAGUUGUUCCUCUCCAGGUGCAGGACCCUCCACUUGCCCUGGUUGAACUCCAUGAGGAGUUCACUCCACCCAGCUCCUCUGGCUCUCCUACACACCCUUCUCACUAUGUCUUCUCCAGCUUUCCCUAUAGUCCCUUUUGCAGAUCCUCCUGGGAUGGGAUCUUUUCUGAAGCUCUCUCUUCUCUCUCUACCCACUCUGCUGUUGCCUUGAGAGGAGCUUUCCUCGGUGCCAGGACCAAGCCAGAUUUCAUUGGUGCUGCUGGAACACCUCAGGAGGCUCACCCUAAGUUGUGUCUGAGGUGGCCUCAUAGAGGUGUCUAGAUUUGGGACACAGCUGGGUCACUGCUGCUAGCCAGGGUGAGGAGCACCCAUCCCUUUUCUCUCUGGUUUUUAAGGUCACCUCUUUCGUUUCAAACCUCUCCCCUCUGGUGCCACCCUUGCAGCUGUGUCAGGCUGGAGAGCAAGCAGAGGAGAAAGUGCCCCAUCAGCCAUCCCCACCAGCUCCCACCCUUCAGGCACUGCAGGGAGGCUUUAGUCCCUAAUUGUGCAGGUACUUGGCAGUACCCAACUGCUUCUCUACCCACCAAAAGAAAACAAAGCCUCCAAACCAACCUGGUGCUGCUCUUCAGGAGCUUAAUAGCACUGCUAAUAGAGGUCACCACUCAUCAGAGAGCCGCGCACCGCAAAGUGGAGGAACAUCAGGACGUGGAGAGCUCUUGGCUCGGGCGCAGAGGGAGCUCUCAAGCCCGUGUUGGCAGCCGAUGAGCAUUUUUGGGGGGGGGUGGCUAGGAAGGGCAGUGGUUGCAAUAGAAGCAAGGGGUCGAGCCCGGCUAAGGUGCCCAAGGGCAGCGUCUCCAUCCGACCAUCGAGCAGCUCAAUGCCUUCCAGAGCUCACCAACAAAAGAUGACCCCAGGGCAGCGUCGGGAACGAGGCAGGGGGGGAGGGUAAGGAUUCAACCAGGGCUUUGGGGUGCCGGGGCCAAAGAGAAGGGAAAGCAGCCCGAUGCUGCUGCAGGGUACUCCCAAGCCGUGUCCUCAGCCCAGCCUGACUUGUGCCCACGCUGCAGCGAUGCCACCUUUAGGCUCCGCCACCAUCCCUAGAUAGCACUCCCACCUGGUUCCCAAGCCCCUGGCGGAGGGGCUCGGCUGAUUGUAAGCCUGCCCUCACCCCAGGACACGCCGAAGGCUCAGCGAGCAGCCGCAGGGCCCCCGGGAGCCGGCGGCGCCAGGCUGCAGCCGCGGUGCCCAGCCCCGCUGGCCAAGUGGCCACAGGGAGCUGCUGAGUCAGGGCAGCGGGGCUGGGCGAGCCUGCCUGCAUCGAUCGAAACCUGAGCCCGGAUCCGAGGAGACGAGAGCCCUCCCGCAGGUGGUGGCUGCUCCUCCCGGCUCCAAACCCCGGGCAGGGUUCUAGAGCAGCCCUCCCUCGCUCCUGGGCGCAGGGUUGAGAGGUGGUGGCUCAGCAGAUGUCCUUCGGGGUGCUGGGGCAACGGUCUGUGCCCCUCGUUUGAUGGAGUCCCAAGUGAAGAGAGGCACUGCUCAAGCGAGCAGGGCUCAGGGAGGAGGGAGGGAGCUCUGGUUGUGGAGAAGGACCUCAGCACAUCCCAGUUUUGGGCUCUGUGCUGACAUAAAGGGCAAACCUGGACUCGAGUCUCUGCAGGGUCUGGGGGGACAGGAUCUGUGUAGCCCUGGCUGAAACCCACCGCAGCUGCUCCUGGAGCACCACUGCAUCUUCAGGAGCUGCUUGCAUCCCGUGGCUCGGGGGCCAGCAGGGAGGAAUCCAGCCUGGUGCUGCAGCCUCAUCUCAGCUGCUGAGCAGCUGCUGCCAGCAGAGCCGCGGGCAAAGUCCAAGCUGUGACCUUCAGCCUCCACCUGCCACUUUUCCCUGCUUUCCUUUGUAGCCACCAGUGAGCCAGGAGCUCCUUGUGCCAGCAGCAACCAGGUUGCCUAUCCCCGUGGUGCCAAGCACCAUCCUGGCUCCCAGCACCACCACACCAGAGCUCCCCAGGGCUCCUCGGUGCUUCUCCACAUGGCAACAGGAUGCAUGGGAAAAUCUCAAGCUCUCAUCCCACCUGAGCCCACCCAUAAUUCCAGGAUGGCAGGAGUCUCCAGGGGAGCAGGGACCUUGGCCAGGAGAAUUUGGAACCAAGGGGAGACGUGGCAUAGAGUCACAGAAUCAUUUUGGCUGGAGAAGACCUUUCUGAUCAUCAAGUCCAACCAGUACCAAGGCUGGGGCUAAACCAUGUCCCUCAGCACCACCUCUCUGCCUCUUUGGAGCACCUCCUGGGAUGGGCAUUCAACCACCUCCCUGGGCAGCCUGUGCCAGUCUCUGAGAACCCUUUCAGUGAAGAAGUUUCUUUAACUACCCAACUUAAACCUCCCCUGGGGCAACUUGAGGCCAUGGAGGAGACAUCCCCCAGGCACCAUAUUAAAUCCCCUCAGGAUGGAGUCAGGGAGGUCAACAGGAUUUUUAGGAGCCUCCACACCACAGAAGCACAGAACUGGUUUGGUUGGGAGAGACUUCCAGGAUCAGCAAGCCCAGCUGUUGACCCAACAUCACCACAGCCAUUAAACCAUGUCCUCAAGUGCCACAUCUACACACAGCCACUUCUCUCCUUGCUGCUCCUCCCUCUCAAGUCCAUGGGGUGCUAAGGGAUGGCUAUGGGGUACAGCUUGGGGUGGAGAGGCUCUCUGGGGACUCAUGAGGCUGAAGCAGAGCUGGGGGGGGGGGAUGCACCUGGACUUGUGCCUCCCCAGCCACGAUGCCAGCUCCAGCAUUGCCUACCAAUGCUAACUCCCAUUUCUGACUGCUUUGCUUUAGUCCUUUUGCUGUUGGCUGCUCAUCGGAGAAGCAGAGAUGAGCUCCCAGCGUGGGGAGCACAGCUCCAGGGCUGGAUUAGCACCA
Long non-coding RNA from Pogoniulus pusillus (Red-fronted tinkerbird), 3255 nucleotides. RefSeq lists it as uncharacterized. The transcript has 2 exons. The record is from RefSeq and is a predicted model, not a curated record. Lineage: Eukaryota; Metazoa; Chordata; Aves; Piciformes; Lybiidae.